Bombina bombina (fire-bellied toad) is the source of this 287-nucleotide long non-coding RNA. RefSeq lists it as uncharacterized. The transcript is spliced from 3 exons. The record is from RefSeq and is a predicted model, not a curated record. NCBI's taxonomy places the organism in Eukaryota, Metazoa, Chordata, Amphibia, Anura, Bombinatoridae.
CAUCUCCAAGGCUUUCAGCUCAGUACAGACAAUCUCUGCAAGAACUCCUGAUGAGCCAAUGGAGAUAGCCUUCUUUAAAGGUCCCUUAUCCUCAAAAGAAUGGAUAAGAAGAAGACAACUUAAUCUCUGCAUGUACUGUGCUGCUUCUGGUCACUCGGUGAAAGAUUGUCCGAUUCUAAACAAAAAUAAAAAGGUGGGAACAGCAACAACUUCCUCUUGAGGCCUUCCUUGAUACAGGAGCGUCAGGAAAUUAUAUAGAUAAAGAUGUAAUCCUGUAUGAAUAAAAU